RNAcentral lists this ribosomal RNA (253 nucleotides) under uncultured bacterium. RNAcentral describes it as "partial 16S ribosomal RNA". It matches the Rfam family "Bacterial small subunit ribosomal RNA", at positions 524 to 776 of the family's 1533-position model. The record is from RNAcentral.
UACGUAGGGUGCGAGCGUUAAUCGGAAUUACUGGGCGUAAAGCGUGCGCAGGCGGUUUUGUAAGCCCGAUGUGAAAUCCCCGGGCUUAACCUGGGAAUGGCAUUUGGGACUGCAAGGCUUGAGUUUGGCAGAGGAGACUGGAAUUCCUGGUGUAGCAGUGAAAUGCGCAGAUAUCAGGAGGAACACCGGUGGCGAAGGCGGGUCUCUGGGCAGUAACUGACGCUGAGGAGCGAAAGCGUGGGGAGCGAACAGG